RNAcentral lists this ribosomal RNA (354 nucleotides) under uncultured bacterium. RNAcentral describes it as "partial 16S ribosomal RNA". It matches the Rfam family "Bacterial small subunit ribosomal RNA", at positions 338 to 709 of the family's 1533-position model. The record is from RNAcentral.
CCUACGGGUGGCAGCAGUGGGGGAUAUUGCACAAUGGGGGAAACCCUGAUGCAGCGACGCCGCGUGAGUGAAGAAGUAUUUCGGUAUGUAAAGCUCUAUCAUCAGGGAAGAAUAUGACAGUACCUGACCAAGAAGCCCCGGCUAACUACGUGCCAGCAGCCGCGGUAAUACGGAGGGGGCAAGCGUUAUCCGGAUUUACUGGGUGUAAAGGGAGCGUAGACGGUGAUGUAAGUCUGGAGUGAAAUCCCGGGGCUCAACCCCGGAACUGCUUUGGAAACUGUGUAACUGGAGUACAGGAGGGGUAGGCGGAAUUCGUGGUGUAGCGGUGAAAUGCGUAGAUAUCAGGAGGAACAC